Molecule: ribosomal RNA, 435 nt
Filed under: uncultured bacterium
Lineage: Bacteria
Description: partial 16S ribosomal RNA
Rfam family: Bacterial small subunit ribosomal RNA
Source: RNAcentral
CGAACGCUGGCGGCAGGCUUAACACAUGCAAGUCGAGCGGGCAUCCUUGUGGUGUCAGCGGCAGACGGGUGAGUAACGCGUGGGAACGUGCCCUUCGGUUCGGAAUAACUCAGGGAAACUUGAGCUAAUACCGGAUACGUGCGAGAGCAGAAAGGUUUAUCUGCCGAAGGAUCGGCCCGCGUCUGAUUAGCUAGUUGGUGAGGUUAUGGCUCACCAAGGCGACGAUCAGUAGCUGGUCUGAGAGGAUGAUCAGCCACACUGGGACUGAGACACGGCCCAGACUCCUACGGGAGGCAGCAGUGGGGAAUAUUGGACAAUGGGGGCAACCCUGAUCCAGCCAUGCCGCGUGAGUGAUGACGGCCUUAGGGUUGUAAAGCUCUUUUCUUCGGGACGAUAAUGACGGUACCGGAGGAAUAAGCCCCGGCUAACUUCGUG